RNAcentral lists this unclassified non-coding RNA (323 nucleotides) under uncultured fungus. Its description in RNAcentral is "partial contains 5.8S ribosomal RNA, internal transcribed spacer 2, and large subunit ribosomal RNA". The record is from RNAcentral. Lineage: Eukaryota; Fungi.
AACGCAUAUUGCACUCUCUGGUCCUCCAGAGAGUAUGCCUGUUUGAGUAUCAUCAAACCCCUCACCCCCUCAAAGGGCGCAUGCUCUGCGAGACGGGUGGAGCUGAGCGUCUGGCAGUCAGAGUCCUGAGUGCCGGUCGGUUGAAAUGGAGUGCGGCUGUGCUUGGCAGCGCCUGUGCUUGCGUAUUAGUUCUCGUCAGAGAUUCCUUACGCAGCGUGUGCAGGCCGCCUGCAGCGGCAUCAACCCAACAAGAGCGCGCUGGCAGUCGACAGAGCGUCUCAACCAUUGAUCUCAAAUCAGGCAAGGCUACCCGCUGAAUUUAA